GACGAACGCUGGCGGCGUGCCUAACACAUGCAAGUCGAGCGGAGAUAUAUUGAAGAUUUAUCGGAUAUGUAUCUUAGCGGCGGACGGGUGAGUAACGCGUGGGCAACCUGCCUCAUACAGGGGGAUAACACAGGGAAACUUGUGCUAAUACCGCAUAACACGGAGCUAUCGCAUGGUAGAGCCGUCAAAGGAGCAAUCCGGUAUGAGAUGGGCCCGCGUCCGAUUAGCUAGUUGGUGGUGUAACGGACCACCAAGGCGACGAUCGGUAGCCGGACUGAGAGGUUGAACGGCCACAUUGGGACUGAGACACGGCCCAGACUCCUACGGGAGGCAGCAGUGGGGAAUAUUGCACAAUGGGGGAAACCCUGAUGCAGCAACGCCGCGUGAAGGAUGAAGGUUUUCGGAUUGUAAACUUCUUUGAUUGGGGACGAAUAAUGACGGUACCCAAAAAACAAGCCACGGCUAACUACGUG
This 473-nucleotide ribosomal RNA is filed under the name uncultured bacterium. RNAcentral describes it as "bacterial SSU rRNA". It matches the Rfam family "Bacterial small subunit ribosomal RNA", at positions 28 to 507 of the family's 1533-position model. The record is from RNAcentral.